Sinocyclocheilus grahami is the source of this 334-nucleotide long non-coding RNA. RefSeq lists it as uncharacterized. NCBI's taxonomy places the organism in Eukaryota, Metazoa, Chordata, Actinopteri, Cypriniformes, Cyprinidae. The transcript is spliced from 3 exons. The record is from RefSeq and is a predicted model, not a curated record.
CAGGCCAACAUUUGUAACUGACUAGCGUUGAGGAUUUUGGAGCAACAAGAGCUCUGUAAAACAGAUGUCCAAAAAAGACUGCCUCUGCAAAGUGAAACCUCUCUCUGUUGUCUACUUUUGGGUUGAAAGUCUCAAUCACUUGGUCAGGUGUCACACAAGCUUCACAGCUGUUGACUGAUGCUCACAGGACUGGUGUUCGGGACUUUCAGCAGAUGUGAUUUCCGAGAGCAGAAAUGUAUGGACACCGGACUGUUCUGCCUCGGAGUAGAUUUUGUGACGCACUUUUCCCCAGGAGACUGGCUCCAUGUGAUGUACUGAUUGAGUGCCUGGAACA